UGAUCAUGGCUCAGAUUGAACGCUGGCGGCAGGCCUAACACAUGCAAGUCGAGCGGUAGCGGGAAGAGCUUGCUCUUUGCCGACGAGCGGCGGACGGGUGCGUAACACGUAGGAAUCUGCCCGGUAGUGGGGGAUAGCCCGGAGAAAUCCGGAUUAAUACCGCAUACGCCCUAAGGGGGAAAGCAGGGGAUCUUCGGACCUUGCGCUAUCGGAUGAGCCUGCGUCGGAUUAGCUUGUUGGUGGGGUAAAGGCCUACCAAGGCGACGAUCCGUAGCUGGUCUGAGAGGAUGAUCAGCCACACUGGGACUGAGACACGGCCCAGACUCCUACGGGAGGCAGCAGAA
This 344-nucleotide ribosomal RNA is filed under the name uncultured Endozoicomonas sp. RNAcentral's name for it is "bacterial SSU rRNA". It matches the Rfam family "Bacterial small subunit ribosomal RNA", at positions 14 to 356 of the family's 1533-position model. The record is from RNAcentral. Lineage: Bacteria; Pseudomonadati; Pseudomonadota; Gammaproteobacteria; Oceanospirillales; Endozoicomonadaceae.